GCCCCUGUAGCUCAGCGGAUAGAGCGCUGGCCUCCGGAGCCAGAUGCGGGAGUUCGAGUCUCCCCAGGGGUACCA
This 75-nucleotide transfer RNA is filed under the name Chloroflexota bacterium. RNAcentral's name for it is "Chloroflexi bacterium (groundwater metagenome) tRNA-Arg". It matches the Rfam family "tRNA". Rfam says of the family: Transfer RNA (tRNA) molecules are approximately 80 nucleotides in length. Lineage: Bacteria; Bacillati; Chloroflexota. RNAcentral also lists the same sequence under 1 other name. The record is from RNAcentral.